AUUGAAAAUACAGGAAAUGAAAAUGAGCAUUUUACUUUAUCAAUAUUUCUUAAUGUUUCAAUGAAGUAUGUAAUAAAUUAAAAGAACUAUUGUAUUGAUUAGGAAAAGUUUUUAUUUCAGGUUUGUGAAUAAAGGCUUGUUUGUUAGAUUUCAAUUGUGGCUCAGUUGGUUGUUUGCUGAGAAGCUGUGAAACAUAAUUAUACAGGCCAUUAAGGAGGUUUUUGUCAGAUUGAUGAAUGUGAAAUUAAGAGGACCCAUUUUGAGGAUGCUUUUUAUGAAUGGAAUCACACGAGAGAUGAAGUCUAAAAUGUGAUACUGUCAAUGUGACUAACCUUGAAGUAAACAGAUGACACAAUGUUUUUUCAAUGUCAUGGGCAUAUAAUGAAGAGAAAACAGAGAUGCUUGUUUGACAGAUACAGUAAUAGUAGGAGUUAUGAGGGAAGAUAGAAUGCAGUGAUAACUAUAUUGAGGCACCACUUCAUCACCAAGAACAUGAAAUGAAUUAUCAAUGUUUUCAAUGUGUUUGAACACCCAUUUUAAAUAAUACAGCUCAGAGUGAAUUUUUCAAAAUAAUUAAUUCUGUUUUUCAAAGUUUUUUAUUUUAGAUGUUAGUUGAUCUUGUCAAGUACUUAAUUUUUUUAGGGAUGGCAACAAUUACUAAAAUCAAUACUCGAGUACUCGGUCAUUUAGAGUAUUCGGUUACUGGGAUGAUUUCCAAUGAUCUUUAAAUUUUUAUCACACAAUAUCAACACCGUCUGCAUGCUACCUUCAUUUCUAUUUUAAUUCAUAGAAUUUGUAGCUAUAAAUAGGAUUGCAAGAAAUACAUAUAAUAAAUAUAAGCAUAAGAAAUGUCAAUGACAGCAUUUAUUAUAUACCUAUAAAUUUUCUUCCUAAAACACAGGAUUAUCUUGAAGCGCAAAUAGUUUUCAACGGUUAGAAAAUUCUGUAUUAUGUUAGAGACAAAUACAGUACCAUAAAUGAAAGGCCUGGACUAUUUUUAUGCUCCCCAAAAAAUUUCGGGUGAGCAUAUAGUCGCCGCCUUGUCCGUCCGUCCGUCCAUCCCCUUUUCUUGUCCGGAACUUUGAAACAACAACAGGUAUUAUCAUGAAACUUUGUAGGUAGAUAGAUCUCAUUGAGUAGGUGUGCAGUGCACAAGAACCUUAACUCUGCCUUGCUUAAUUUUUGAAUUAUUCCCCUUUGUUUAUUUUACACUUUGAACUUUGUCCGGGACAUAACUCUAAAACUAUAAGAGGUAUCAACAUGAAACUUUGUAGGUAGAUAGAUCUAAUUGAGUAGGUGUGCAGUGCACAAGAACCAUAACUCUGCCUUGUCUAAUUUUGAAUUAUUCCCCUUUGUUUAUUUUUACACUUUGAACUUUGUCCGGGACAUAACUCUAAAACUAUAAGAGGUAUCAACAUGAAACUUUGUAGGUAGAUAGAUCUAAUUGAGUAGGUGUGCAGUGCACAAGAACCGUAACUCUGCCUUGCUUAAUUUUUGAAUUAUUCCCCUUUGUUUAUUUUACACUUUGAACUUUGUCCGGGACAUAACUCUAAAAGUAUAAGAGGUAUCAACAUGAAACUUUGUAGGUAGAUAGAUCUCAUUGACUUGGUAUGCAGUGUACAAGAACCGUAACUCUGCCUUGCCUAAUUUUUGAAUAAUCCCCCUUUGUUUAUUUUACACUUUGAAAUUUGUCCGGGACAUAACCUUUAAACUAUAAGAGGUAUCAACAUGAAACUUUGUAGGUAGAUAGAUCUCAUUGACUUGGUAUGCAGUGCACAAGAACCGUAACUCUGCCUUGCCUAAUUUUUGAAUUAUCCCCCUUUCUUUAUUUUACACUUUGAACUUUGUCUCUAAAACUAUAAGAGGUAUCAACAUGAAACUUUGUAGGUAGAUAGAUUUCAUUGAGUUGGUAAGCAGUGCACAAGAAACUUAACUCUCCCUUGCCUAAUUUUUGAAUUAUCCCCCUUUGUUUAUUUUUACACUUUGAACUUUGUCCGAGACAUAACUCAAUGUAAAAGAGAUAUCAACAUGAAACUUUGUAGGUAGAUAGAUAUCGUUGAGUAAGUUUGCAGUGCACAAGAACUGUAACACUGUCUUGCCUACUUUUGGAGUUAUUGCCCUUUGAUCAUUUUGACACUUUGAACUUUGUCCGGGACAUUACUCUAAGCAGUGCUUAAGAAUUAUUACUCUGCCUUGCCUUAUUUUGAAGUAAUUGCCCUUUGUUUAUUUUUACUUUUUGACUUUUGUACGAGACAUAACUUUAAAACUAUUAGAGAUAUCAACAUGAAACUUUGUAGGUAGCUAGAUAUAAUUGGAUAGAACUGCAAUGCUUAAAGAACCUAAAGAAAGCCUGGUCUAAUUUUGGAGUUUAUACCCUAAUUUCAUUUUUACACUUUGAAUUUUACCUUGGACAUAACUCUGAUAUCAUCAGGCAACUUUAUAGAUGGAUAGAUCUAAUUGAAUAGAAGUGCAGUGCAAAAAAAAACAUAACUCAGCUUUGCCUAAUUUUGGGGUUUUUGCCCUUUGUUCAUUUUUUUUAUACUUUCCAGUGUCCAGAACCUUCUCGGGGAGCAUCACCCGGUUCAACCGGUUCUUGUUAAUGUUGGUUCUGAUCUUAGCUGUGUAUAACAUAGUAUAUGGAAACCGCAACCAAAAUAAUAAAAGGUGUGGCUGGUUUUGCACAAAUUUUGAUUCAUCUGUCAGUCAUAAUUUAUUUCUUGACAGCUACAUUUCUUUUUCUGAAAUUUCUUAUAUAAGUGUAGUAUAAUGAAAAUCAUUUAUACUUCAAACGAAAAGGUAUAUUAUUAAAGGAAAAUUAUGUUGUAGUAGCUUUCUGAGGGUAUGCAUUUUUCUACUUGCAAUGUUGGAAAAUUGUUAUCUAGCUCGCCCUUUAGUCUCGCAAGAUAUCAAUUUCCCACCGCUGCUCAUAGCAAAAUAAAAAGCCUCAGAGAGCUACUACAACAUAAUAUUCUGUAUAUAUAUUUUUUUAUAAUUAACAAGUUUGGGCUAUCCUUGAACUUUUUUUUUAUUUAAUCAAGUUUGAUUUUUUUUAAAUAUAUUUAUAUGAAUGGAUGCAGCUUUGAAAUAGAUUUUACUUAUGUAUAUUUGGCAGCAAUUUCACAUGUAGCUCUUCGAAAAAAAAUCACUUGAGCAAAAAAAAUUUUAUAGGCAUAAAGUGAUACCCGUUCUGUCAUCAUCAGUUUUUGGUUUUUAGCUCACCUGAGCUUGCUCAGGGUGAGCUUUAAGGAUCGGUGAAUGUCCGUCGUCCGUCCACAAUUGCUUGUGAACACUCUAGCGGUCGCAUUUUUGCCUCAAUCAUCAUCAAACUUGGUCAGGAUGCUUAUCUAGUUGAAAGCAUGGAUGAGUUCGAACAUGAGUCAUCUCGGAUGAAAGGCUAGGUCACAAGAGGUAAAAAAAGAAAAACCUUGUGAACACCGUAGAGGUCACAUUUUUGACCCAAUCAUCAUUAAACUUGGUCAGGAUGUUUGCCUAGGUGAUAGCUCGGAUGAGUUCGAACAUGGGUCAUCUCUGAUGAAAAAGUAGGUCACAGGAGCUAUAAAUAGAAACACCUUGUGAACACUCUAGUGGUCACAUUUUUAAACCAAUCAUCAUCAAACUUGGUCAGAAUGCUUGUCUAGUUAAUUGCUUGGAUGAGUUUGAACAUGGGUCAUCUCUGAUGAAAAACUAGGUCACAGGAGCUAAAAAUAGAAAAACCUUGUUAACACUCUAGCCGUCACAUUUUUGCAUCAAUCAUCAUCAAACUUGGUCAGGAUGCUUAUCUAGUUGAUAUCUUGGAUGAGUUUGAACAUGGGUCAUCUCAGAUGAAAAUGUAGGUCACCGGAGCUAAAAAUAGAAAAACAUUGUUAACAAUCUAGCGGUCACAUUUUUGCAUCAAUCAUCAUCAAACUUGGUCAAGAUGCUUGUCUAUGUGAUAGCUCGGAUGAGUACAAACAUGGGUCAUCUCGGAUGAAAAAGUAGGUCACCGGAGCUAAAAAAAGAAAAACCUUGUUAACACUCUAGCAGUCACCUUUUUGCAUCAGUCAUCAUCAAACUUUUGUCAAGAUGUUUGUCUAGUUGAUAGCUCGGAUGAGUUUGAACAUGGAUCAUCUUGGAUGAAAAAGUAGGUCACCUGGGGUAGAAAUAGAAAAACCUUGUUAACACUCUUGUGGUCACAUUUUUGCAUCAAUCAUCAUCAAACUUGAUUAAGAUGCUUGUCUAGGUGAUAGCUCAGAUGAGUUCGGAAAUGGGUCAUCUCGGAUGAAAAACUAGGUCACAGGAGCUAAAAAUAAAAAAACCUUGUCUACACUCUAGUGGUCACAAUUUUGACUCAAUUGUUAGCAAACUUGGUCAGGAAACUUGCCUAGGUCAUUGCUGGGAAUAAAUCGAACAUGGGACAUCUCGGAUGAAAAACUAGGUCACAGGAGAUAAAAAUAGAAAAAUCUUGUUAACACUCUAGUGGCUACUGUUGUGAUCCAAAUAUUCUGUUAAUUGGUCUAAAAGUUUUUUUUGAUGAUUUCUAAGUCAAGAUCCAACAUGGGUCAUCUUGGAUGAAAAACUAGGUCACACCGCCCAAAUAUGGAAAAGCCUUGUUAACAUUCUACUGGUUACAUUUUCGACUCAAUUAUCAUCAAACUUGGUCAGGAUGCUUGUCUAGGUAAUUGCUUGGAUGAGUUCGAAAUCGCAUGUGAAACUAGGUCACCGGAGCUAAAAAUAGAAAAAUCUUGUUAACACUCUUGUUGCUAUUGUUUUGAUCCAAGUAUCCUGGAAAUUGGUCUGACAGUUUGUUUUGAUGAUUUCUAGGUCAAGUUUGAAUAUGUGUCACCUGAGUAAAAAACAAGGUCGCACUGCUCAAAUAUGGAUAAUCCUUGUUAACACUGUAGUGGUCACAUUUUUGACUCACCUGUCGUGAGACUUGGUCAGAAUGUUUGUCUAGGUAAUUGUUUGGAUGAGUUUGAUAAGUCAGGUGAGCGAUCUAGGGCUAUCAUGGCCCUCUUGUUUUGUAUGGUUUUAUUUAAGAAAUAUUUUGUUCCAGUUAUUUACAGAUGUUUGUAUGAUUAUUGGAUUAAAGUUAAAGUACA
This is a long non-coding RNA of Ruditapes philippinarum (Manila clam), 5078 nucleotides long. RefSeq lists it as uncharacterized. The transcript has 3 exons. Lineage: Eukaryota; Metazoa; Mollusca; Bivalvia; Venerida; Veneridae. The record is from RefSeq and is a predicted model, not a curated record.